CCAGCGUGCCAGAUGCACCCCAUCUAUAUCUGAUGCCAUGGUCUCUCAGCUGCCGGGUGAUUGGCAUGAACCUUCUCCUCUCUAGCAGAGUUGCAAAUGGUAAGUCGUCGAAUACCUUGAUGUGUAGGUUAUCCACUGUGGCGGUGGGUGUCUUUCUGGAGGCAGCCAUAAUCGCCGCUUUUACCGUAAUGUCUCGUGUGAUUGCAAUAAUGUCCC
This is a non-coding RNA of Pelobates cultripes (western spadefoot toad), 216 nucleotides long. Lineage: Eukaryota; Metazoa; Chordata; Amphibia; Anura; Pelobatidae. The record is from the annotation of a GenBank genome assembly.